This 735-nucleotide ribosomal RNA is filed under the name uncultured bacterium. Its description in RNAcentral is "bacterial SSU rRNA". It matches the Rfam family "Bacterial small subunit ribosomal RNA", at positions 28 to 776 of the family's 1533-position model. The record is from RNAcentral.
GACGAACGCUGGCGGCGCGUCUAACACAUGCAAGUCGAACGAGCGAGAGAGAGCUUGCUUUCUCAAGCGAGUGGCGAACGGGUGAGUAACGCGUGAGGAACCUGCCUCAAAGAGGGGGACAACAGUUGGAAACGACUGCUAAUACCGCAUAAGCCCACGACCCGGCAUCGGGUUGAGGGAAAAGGAGCAAUCCGCUUUGAGAUGGCCUCGCGUCCGAUUAGCUGGUUGGUGAGGUAACGGCCCACCAAGGCAACGAUCGGUAGCCGGACUGAGAGGUUGAACGGCCACAUUGGGACUGAGACACGGCCCAGACUCCUACGGGAGGCAGCAGUGGGGAAUAUUGCACAAUGGGGGAAACCCUGAUGCAGCGACGCCGCGUGGAGGAAGAAGGUCUUCGGAUUGUAAACUCCUGUUGUUGAGGAAGAUGAUGACGGUACUCAACAAGGAAGUGACGGCUAACUACGUGCCAGCAGCCGCGGUAAAACGUAGGUCACAAGCGUUGUCCGGAAUUACUGGGUGUAAAGGGAGCGCAGGCGGGAAGACAAGUUGGAAGUGAAAUCUAUGGGCUCAACCCAUAAACUGCUUUCAAAACUGUUUUUCUUGAGUAGUGCAGAGGUAGGCGGAAUUCCCGGUGUGGCGGUGGAAUGCGUAGAUAUCGGGAGGAACACCAGUGGCGAAGGCGGCCUACUGGGCACCAACUGACGCUGAGGCUCGAAAGUGUGGGUAGCAAACAGG